AAAAGUCGUAACAAGGUUUCCGUAGGUGAACCUGCGGAAGGAUCAUUAUCGUAUACAACGGGAGGGUGCGAGGGCUGUCGCUGACCCUCGAAAGGUCGUGCACGCCCGAGCGCUCUCUCGACACACACAUCCAUCUCACCCCCCUUUUGUGCAUCUCCGCGUAGGUCCCCUUUUCGAAAAAGGGGGCCUGCGUUUUUACAUCAAACUUUGAAGUAGUGUAGAAUGUCAUUUUUGCGAUCAUACGCAAUCAAUACAACUUUCAACAACGGAUCUCUUGGCUCUCGCAUCGAUGAAGAACGCAGCGAAAUGCGAUACGUAAUGUGAAUUGCAGAAUUCAGUGAAUCAUCGAAUCUUUGAACGCACCUUGCGCCCCUUGGAAUUCCGAGGGGCACACCCGUUUGAGUGUCGUGAAUUUCUCAAAAGCCCCCUUUUCUUUUGAAAGGGAAGGGUCUUUUGGACUUGGAGGGUCUAUGCACGCUUUCGAAGAAAAAGAAAGCGAGCUCCUCUAAAAUGGAUUAGUGAGGUUCGCUUCGUCGGUCCUUGACGUGAUACGUUUGCUUCUACGUUUUGGAUUCGACUUGCGCUCGCUUCUAACCGUCUUCAUCGACGACGAUGGUGCUCCGGUCUCUUUGCUGCUAGCGGGAGGCUGGACCCACAAAAUGAAACCUUGACCUCAAAUCGGGUGAGACUACCCGCUGAACUUAAGCAUAUCAAUAAGCGGAGGA
Molecule: ribosomal RNA, 725 nt
Filed under: Russula discopus
Lineage: Eukaryota; Fungi; Basidiomycota; Agaricomycetes; Russulales; Russulaceae
Description: eukaryotic LSU rRNA
Rfam family: 5.8S ribosomal RNA (bases 255-408)
Source: RNAcentral